UUUUUUUUGGUCACUUCCUUUAACAACAAACUCGCAGUCGCUGAUUAUACAUGGCAGUGUGAGUAAAACUGUCUCCCCCUGGUGGCGUGGAGUGGACAGCUCCGUCAAUAAUGCUGCAUGGCGCAGACCAGACUCAAAACACAGCACUCUGUCAUCACUGAUGAGGAGAUUAUGGACCAGUGCAACCCCUCAGAAGUGCCUCCCUCCCCGAGCUCUCUCAGUAGCUGCCCACUACAAACAUGUGUUGCACCAGACCUCUCAGUGGUGUUAUUAGGAGAUGAUGUCACCAUCUACAGGCAAUACCACAGAAGUUACCUCCCCUUUUGUUGUAGUCGGUCGGUAUGUUUCCCGUUUGUUUGGGAACUAAUCAUUAGUGCAAUGGGUGCCACAUGGAAGAUCUGGCGAGGCAUUAAUAGUUGCCUUUUGGCCCUUCCUACCUCCGAGGGCCAGACAGGAAUAGAUGUAUCGUAACCUGAACGUUCACCAGGGUUUCUCACUACUUGUAGUUCCCCUCCAGUAAAGUCCGUUUUUCAUGUAUUGAGGAAGUAAGACAACUGCAUUGCAGAGGAGAAAAUGGUAUUUUAUUUUCACAUAAUAGAGUUCCUAUAAAAAGUAAAGAAUGCAAAGGACUGCUUGCCUUGUAAGUGUUCCCCUCCAGUUAAAUAUAUCACAAAAUAAAUAAAUCAUUACAAUACAGUCAAAACACAGUGGUUAAGUAUCAAACAUUUGCUUUAAAUGUGUUGCAUCCUCUAUUAUUUAAUGCUGUCGUGAUAAACUGACUGAUCACUUCCCUCAUCUUAUCCAUUUUCUAUCUCUCCCCUUUAUGUUGCAGAUUAUCUGGUGUCGUGCAGGAGAAUAUGGAUUAUAAAUAACAUCUUCUGCAUCUACCUCAGUACAUUAGCUGGGACAGUAUCUUCUGUGUUGUCCGCAUUACACACAUACUCCAGUUGCAAACUGUUUGGCACAGAAAAAAAGGAUAAAUAUUGCAUCCCAUGCCACAGAAAACACAGAUAUCAUCCUCUCCCACCAAAUAAAGUACAUGAUCUCAGUCAAAGUCAGGAGCAGAGACCAAAUCUUUGUGUAACAGUGUUAGUGCCUUUUUUCCAAAAUGAGAAAUGUCUCAGUAAAUGUCUUUAUUUUACAACUUUUUCAGUAUUGAAAACCUCUCUGUCCAGUGCUGCAUAUCCUCCUCCUCCAGUAGAGUCCACCACUUCACACCAUAAUUGGAAGGAAGUGGGUGGCCGUGUUCUUCCUGCGGGUUUUCUUCCCUCUCAGCGGCUUCCCGUGGACAUUCAGACCCACAAACAUCUGCCGCUUCUUGUUCCUCCACUCGGCCGAUGCGUACGUGUUGUAGCCGUUCUCCUCAAUCCGCUCCUUCAGGGUGCAGUCGACACCGAACUCUCUCUGGAAAAACAGUAGCAUCCUGAUUGACCCCUGACCCGGAUACUAACCGCUCCAUACAGCUCUCCCUUCCUGCUGAUAGCCAGAUAGUAGUUGCUGUUCAGCCCUUUGAUGGCCACCACUCCCACGUCCACCGAUGUGAUUUCCAGAAUACCUAGGAUUCAGCAAAAAAAAAAAAUGUUUUAUCAAUAUGUGUCAACAUUCAGAGUGAGCAUAAGCUUUUAUGUAAUAUUUGCAAGUGAAAUAAUUUGCAUGUUUCUAAGCAUUUGAAGCUCAACUACUGAGAAAAAACAACUUUUCACAGGGUUCUUUUCAGUUCACAGAGAAAACAGGAAGUACAUGUGAUAAAAAUGUGUUUGUGACUCGUAGGUAGAUAAGAUUACAGAAGAAUUCAAUCUCUGGGAUGAAUCCAUAAAGUUUUACAGACAUCGGUGAAAGUAUCUAAUGGAUAACAACAUAUUGCAAGCUCAUUCCAGGACAUUUAGGAACACACAGUGUGGGAAUUCUGCCUAAGUCCUAAAGCAAGAUUUAACGUUUUGGUGAUAUUAUAAAGUUACUUUACAACCUACACCUGUGCAACAGAUUCCAGCUGCGUAGGCCAUUUAGUUAGAAAAUUAAUAGGUGGAUACCGCAGAGAUUCUCAGGUUGUUUAUGUUCUGUUUGGUAUUUAUGUUUCCAAGUCCCUAUGCAAGCAAUUCAGGUUUCUCAUAGGCUAUUAGAGGGGCUAAUUUAUACCCCAGUUAACAAGGGUGGACUUUUGCCGCAGACAGCUGUGGUUAUUUGUGUGGUCUCAGUAUCAGAGGUCAGAGAGAUAUAACUUCCUAACGUGUCCUUUGACCACAGAUCCCACUUGUCUAGUGUGUGUGUGUGUGUGUGUGUGUGUGUGUGUGUGUGUGUGUGUGUGUGUGUGUGCGCGUGCGUGCGUGUGUUUGUGUUUGCGUGUGUGCGAUGCGUGGGUGCGUGCAUGUGUGUGUGCCAGUUAACCUCCCCUGUUCCCAUAGCAUGUUUGAUUUAAUGCCUCCCUCCCUGACUUCCUUUCCCCACUUCCUGUGAGCUGUCAUUACUUUAUCUUUAUCCCGAUAACCACACAUGUGUGUACGCACACACACGCACACAUUCAGACACACACAGCGUGGGGUGUGAACUCCAGAGAGUCGACGACAUCCUUUGAUCAGAUCAGCAGCCCCUCCUCUGUCUGAUGACUGUUUGUGUGGCAGCCUGCUCUACUGUCAGGCCCACUCUCCGGUGGCUGGGGGGCCUCUGAGGCUGCCAGCCUCGUACAUGAGUGGACAGUGGAGGAUGCAGGUGUGCCCCCAAAGAACAAUCCCUCUCUUAAAACAUACAGCAGCUUCUCUCUUCGUCCGUGAGGUCUUGACUGUAUCAGUUUCUAGUUCAAACAGUGGCACCUCGAGGCAGUGAGGUCUGAAGCGGCAAGGCGGUGGUGGGGACGGUAACACAACGGCCAUUGAAGAUCUGAGAGGAGCUGGUUUCUGUAUGGGAUCGGGUGUCGGGUAUGGAGUGAGGAUGUAAGACAAUCUAUGGCAGUCCCUGGCUGCUCUGUAAACAUGGGAGGGAUGAAAGGAAGGAGAACAGAGGAGGACAGAGGAGCCAUGACAGUGAGACUGGGGGUGGAGUGAGGAUUAGUAAGGCUGUAAUGAUCACUGAUCAAAGUCAGCCACCGGAGGCAGGGGCGAGACGGGUUGCAUUUACACACACAUGCGCGCACACAUACGUACACAGUAACACACACACACACACACACACACACACACACACACACACACACACACACACACACACACACACACACACACACACAGAGAUGAUAUUGUAGCAGGUGAAUGUGCACUUGCACACAACUUGCAAACUCAACCUGGCUGUGAAACACUGUUCUCUGCUGAAUGCUCAGCGUGGCCCAUCAGUGGAGAGUAAUGAGUUUAUGGCUGCGAGUAAGGGGAAUGCCAUACGCUUGCUCCAGAUUACUACAUUAGGCCUUAAAUUUGACAACAAUGCCUUGUACGUGGUACAUUUUCCAAACCACACAUGAAAAAUGUGGCCUUAACUCAGCCAGCCAUGAAGGUUCAGCUGUUUACUUGGGGAGACAGCAGUUUUUCUUUUGCA
This is a long non-coding RNA of Cottoperca gobio, 3522 nucleotides long. RefSeq lists it as uncharacterized. Lineage: Eukaryota; Metazoa; Chordata; Actinopteri; Perciformes; Bovichtidae. The record is from RefSeq and is a predicted model, not a curated record. The transcript has 4 exons.